CGCGUAGGCGGGUGAUCAAGUCCGGGGUGAAAUCUUUCGGCUCAACCGGAAAAUAGCCUUGGAUACUGGUCGUCUGGAGGGAGGUAGGGGCAUGUGGAACUUCCGGUGGAGCGGUGAAAUGUGUUGAUAUCGGAAGGAACGCCGGUGGCGAAAGCGGCGUGCUGGACCUCUUCUGACGCUGAGGCGCGAAAGCUAGGGGAGCGAACGGGAUUAGAUACCCCGGUAGUCCUAGCCCUAAACGAUGGGUACUAGAUUGUGGACUUGACAUGGGUUCACAGUCGAAGCAAAAGUUUUAAGUACCCCGCCUGGGGAGUAUGGUCGCAAGGCUGAA
This 331-nucleotide ribosomal RNA is filed under the name uncultured bacterium. RNAcentral describes it as "bacterial SSU rRNA". It matches the Rfam family "Bacterial small subunit ribosomal RNA", at positions 568 to 898 of the family's 1533-position model. The record is from RNAcentral.